RNAcentral lists this ribosomal RNA (256 nucleotides) under uncultured bacterium. Its description in RNAcentral is "partial 16S ribosomal RNA". It matches the Rfam family "Bacterial small subunit ribosomal RNA", at positions 524 to 776 of the family's 1533-position model. The record is from RNAcentral.
UACGAAGGGUGCAAGCGUUACUCGGAAUUACUGGGCGUAAAGCGUGCGUAGGUGGUGAGUUAAGUCUGUCGUGAAAAGCCCUGGGCUCAACCUGGGAAUGGCGAUGGAUACUGGGAGGCUAGAGUGUGAUAGAGGAUGGUGGAAUUCCCGGUGUAGCGGUGAAAUGCGUAGAGAUCGGGAGGAACACCAGUGGCGAAGGCGGCCAUCUGGAUCAACACUGACGCUGAGGCACGAAAGCGUGGGGGAAGCAAACAGG